GGUUUGAUCUGGCUCAGAUUGAACGCUGGCGGGAUGCUUUACACAUGCAAGUCGAACGGCAGCACGGACUUCGGUCUGGUGGCGAGUGGCGAACGGGUGAGUAAUGUAUCGGAACGUGCUAGUAGCGGGGGAUAACUACGCGAGAAGCGUAGCUAAUACCGCAUGCGCCCUUCGGGGAAAGCGGGGGGACCUUCGGGCCUCGCACUAUUGAAGCGGCCGAUAUCGGAUUGGCUAGUUGGUGGGGUAACGGCUCGCAAAGGCGACGAUCCGUAGCUGGUUUGAGAGGACGACCAGCCACACUGGGACUGAGACACGGCCGGGCUCCUGCGGGAGGCGACAGUGGGGAAUUUUUUGGACAAUGGGGAAACCCUGAUCCAGCCAUCCCGCGUGUGCGAUGAAGGCCUUCGGGUUGUAAGCACUUUUGGCAGGAAAGAAACGGCACGGGAUAAUACCCCGUGCAACUGACAGUACCUGCAGAAUAAGCACCGGCUAACUACGUGCCAGCAGCCGCGGUAAUACGUAGGUGCAGAUUGUGGAAUUACUGGGCGUAAAGCAUUGCGCAGGCGGUUCGGAAAGAAAGAUGGCAAAAUCCCAGAGCUUAACUUUGGAACUGCAUUUUUAACUACCGAGCUAGAGUGUGUCAGAGGAGGUACGAUUCCCGCGUGUAGCAGUGAAAUGCGUAGAUAUGCGGAGGAACACCGAUGGCGAGCACCCAGCCUCCUGGGAUAACACUGACGCUCAUGCACGAAAGCGUGGGGGAGCAAACCGGGGAUUGAUACCUGGUAGUCCACGCCCUAAACGAUGUCAACUAGCUGUUGGGGCCUUCGGGCCUUGGUAGCGCAGCUAACGCGUGAAGUUGACCGCCUGGGGAAGUACGGUCGCAAAGAUUAAAGCCAAGGAAUUGACGGGGACCCACACAAGCGGUGGAUGAUGUGGAUUAAUUCGAUGCAACGCGAAAAACCUUACCUACCCUUGACAUGUCUGGAAUCCCGAAGAGAUUGGGAGUGCUCGCAAGAGAACCGGAACACAGGUGCUGCAUGGCUGUCGUCAGCUCGUGUCGUGAGAUGUUGGGUUAAGUCCCGCAACGAGCGCAACCCUUGUCAUUAGUUGCUACGAAAGGGCACUCUAAUGAGACUGCCAGUGACAAACCGGAGGAAGGUGGGGAUGACGUCAAGUCCUCAUGGCCCUUAUGGGUAGGGCCUGUACACGUCAUACAAUGGUCGGAACAGAGAGGUCGCCAACCCGCGAGGAGACUAAUCCAGAAACCCGAUCGUAGUCGGAUCGCAGUCUGCAACUCGACUGCGUGAAGUCGAAUCUUGCAGUAGGAUCAGCAUGUCGCGGUGAAUACGUUCCGGGUCUUGUACACACCGCCCGUCACACCAUGGGAGUGGGUUUUACCGAAGUAGUUAGCCUAACCGUAAGGAGGGCGAUUACCACGGUAGGAUUCGCGGCUGGGAAUUGAAGUCGUAACAAGGUAG
RNAcentral lists this ribosomal RNA (1478 nucleotides) under uncultured Bordetella sp. Its description in RNAcentral is "partial 16S-23S ribosomal RNA intergenic spacer". It matches the Rfam family "Bacterial small subunit ribosomal RNA". Lineage: Bacteria; Pseudomonadati; Pseudomonadota; Betaproteobacteria; Burkholderiales; Alcaligenaceae. The record is from RNAcentral.